Molecule: long non-coding RNA, 1242 nt
Organism: Bos taurus (domestic cattle)
Lineage: Eukaryota; Metazoa; Chordata; Mammalia; Artiodactyla; Bovidae
Source: Ensembl
CUUGGAAAAUCCCAUGGAUGGAGGAGCCUGGUAGGCUGUAGUCCAUGGGGUCGCUAAGAGUCGGACACGACUGAGCGACUUCCCUUUCACUUUUCACUUUCAUGCAUUGGAGAAGGAAAUGGCAACCCACUCCAGUGUUCUUGCCUGGAGAAUCCCAGGGACAGGGGAGCCUGGUGGGCUUCCGUCUAUGGGGUCGCACAGAGUCAGACACGACUGAAGCAACUUAGCAGCAAUAGCAGCAGCAUUGACUUUUCUAUUGGCUAAAUAGUUUUGAGGUUAAAUUAUAGUGUUCAUGGUUCUCCAGCCUUUCUAUGAUUUGCAGUGGGGAAGGAAUAACUUUGGCGUUCCUUAGGUGUGACUCUCCAUAACUAAGAAGCUCUAAAUUGCAGUCUCAAGAGCAGUUAGAAAUUCUCAAAAAAAUGUCAUCUGGUCCAGCAGGUUCAUUUUCCUGAAUUGCAUUUCCAAAAGUGGGUGCAGUUUAGGUUAAUGACAGUCUUUGCUCCUGACUCAGCUGCUUGCCUAUUUUCCUGUUCUCUUUGUUGGAAUGACUAUACCUGUCAGGGUUGCACAAUAUGUUCAUGACCCAGUUAAGCCAGGACGAGGUGGUUUAUUUUUUAACUGCCUCUGUGCUAUUCCUGUUAAUCGUAACCCUGCCAAAUGAGCCAGGCCUAGACUGUAUGUUUAGUUCAGGAACUUUGGCAACAGAAACCAUGCUAACCUUUGAAAAUUUGUUGGGAUUCAACAGGGGACUCAUGGAGCCCAAGAACUGGGCCUCAAGAAGAACCAGAACCAGGCUGGAGGGCACCAGCAGCACAAGGAGGGCUGUUUCUCAACCCUGCCUCAUUCUUUCUAGACCAACCGGGCUUCCUGGCCCAAAGAUGGCUGCUCACAGCUCCAACUUCAAGUGUAACUUCCGGAUGUACAGAAUGCUUCUGUCUAGGUCCCAUAUGGCGCAGUGGUAAAGAAUCUGCCGUCAAUGCAGGAGACAUGGGUUCAAUCCGACUGGUGGCAACCCACUCCAGUAUUCUUGCCUGGGAAAUCCCAUGGACAGAGGAGCCUGGUGGGCUUCAGUCUAUGGCUUCUCAAAAGAGUUGGACACGAUUUAGCUACUAAACAACAACGAAAUGCAUGUGAAGCCAUGGGAAUAAAUGAGGUGGUUGAGAGCAAGAGUGAAUGGUGAGAAGGUGCCAAGACACACCCUGUCAAAUACCAACAUUCAGAGCCCAGUGAGAGAAGUAGAAG